Molecule: ribosomal RNA, 494 nt
Filed under: uncultured bacterium
Lineage: Bacteria
Description: partial 16S ribosomal RNA
Rfam family: Bacterial small subunit ribosomal RNA
Source: RNAcentral
ACGAACGCUGGCGGCGUGCCUAAUACAUGCAAGUAGAACGCUGAAGGAGGAGCUUGCUCUUCUGGAUGAGUUGCGAACGGGUGAGUAACGCGUAGGUAACCUGCCUGGUAGCGGGGGAUAACUAUAGGAAACGAUAGCUAAUACCGCAUAACAGUAGAUGUUGCAUGACAUUUACUUAAAAGGUGCAAUUGCAUCACUACCAGAUGGACCUGCGUUGUAUUAGCUAGUUGGUGGGGUAACGGCUCACCAAGGCGACGAUACAUAGCCGACCUGAGAGGGUGAUCGGCCACACUGGGACUGAGACACGGCCCAGACUCCUACGGGAGGCAGCAGUAGGGAAUCUUCGGCAAUGGACGGAAGUCUGACCGAGCAACGCCGCGUGAGUGAAGAAGGUUUUCGGAUCGUAAAGCUCUGUUGUAAGAGAAGAACGAGUGUGAGAGUGGAAAGUUCACACUGUGACGGUAUCUUACCAGAAAGGGACGGCUAACUACGUG